UAAUCCCCAGAAUGUGUCCCAGCAGAAUACCUACCUUCGAUGGAGGGUGGUCUCGGAGAGAGUUUCGUCAGGAAACGUUUAAGACUCAGAAAAUCCUCUAUAACUUGAGAAAAUCAGAACCACAUGUUCCACUUUGAUAAGCCCACAAUAAAAAA
Leptinotarsa decemlineata (Colorado potato beetle) is the source of this 155-nucleotide long non-coding RNA. The record is from RefSeq and is a predicted model, not a curated record. Lineage: Eukaryota; Metazoa; Arthropoda; Insecta; Coleoptera; Chrysomelidae.